UGCUGGUCUCUAAUUAAAAUGUCGCUGCUCUUUACAACUAAUUGAUACAACAAGUUACAAAUUUCUUUGUUGCUUCUUCAUUCCCACUGCUUCACUUGGCUAGCCUUAA
Unclassified non-coding RNA from Cercocebus atys (sooty mangabey), 109 nucleotides. It matches the Rfam family "Y RNA". Rfam says of the family: Y RNAs are components of the Ro ribonucleoprotein particle (Ro RNP), in association with Ro60 and La proteins. The Y RNAs and Ro60 and La proteins are well conserved, but the function of the Ro RNP is not known. The record is from Ensembl. Lineage: Eukaryota; Metazoa; Chordata; Mammalia; Primates; Cercopithecidae.